RNAcentral lists this long non-coding RNA (734 nucleotides) under Heterocephalus glaber (naked mole-rat). RNAcentral describes it as "lncRNA (ENSHGLG00100044867.1)". Lineage: Eukaryota; Metazoa; Chordata; Mammalia; Rodentia; Bathyergidae. The record is from RNAcentral.
UUUCAAAACCGACAAUGGAAAAUGCCUAACCCGUUUCUCCGCCUAAGAUCAUUCUUGAAGUUUUGGAUCCCCUGCAGAGCACAGCAAGGCUCCGGACUUUGUCCCGCGAGGAGUGACAGGUCUCGGGCCUCUUCCGUCCGCGGGAGGAAGCGGGGCUCCAGGCGGUGCGAGGACUGCGUGUGCCUUCCCCACACCCGCCCUCUGGGGGCCUUGCCCCACAGCUUGGCUUUCCAGAGCUUUCUAGCCUACGGGGUCCCAGGGUCGGGACUGCAGGAGAGCCAGCUGGGACCUGACUGCAUCUGAAUCCCGCUGGGACCUGUUGGACCGCGCUUGUGUCGACGCAGUUCCACUCCCUUCACGCCAGGGGCGGCCUACGCGUCCCGAUGUAGAUCACUGCGUGCGUGCACGGAGGUGAAAUGUUUGAAAAAGCAGUUUCAGGCUCUUCUUUGAAGAAGGAAGCAAAUGCCUAUGGUGACGAUGUUGAAGGGAGAAUGUUUCAUCCCGGGAUGUCCUACGCCUACUUACCGAUGGCUGUCUGAUCUCGGUUGACUGCAGGUCAUUAAAGCCCUGGAAAUGAAAGCAUCGACACAGGGGACAACUGCUCUUCCACUGCCACCAACCUGGUCCAAAUGAAGUCACCACCCCAGAGAACUGCCCUGACAGUCUCCCAGCUGGUCUUGCUUCUUCCUGCUGGCCCUUCCCAGUCUCCUCUCAGGAGAGCAGCUCCUGCGGUC